Long non-coding RNA from Ailuropoda melanoleuca (giant panda), 334 nucleotides. RefSeq lists it as uncharacterized. NCBI's taxonomy places the organism in Eukaryota, Metazoa, Chordata, Mammalia, Carnivora, Ursidae. The transcript has 3 exons. The record is from RefSeq and is a predicted model, not a curated record.
AGACGUCCAGUUCUCUUCUCUUCCUGCCCAGCUCUGUCCUGCACUGAUGCUGUCACAGACUGGACACCCAGCUCCAUGUCCAAGCUCCAUCCAACCCAGUCAGCCAGCUCUUGGCCGCCAUACAGGCUUAGGGGCUUGUACCAAAUUAUAUGAAAAGGAAGGAUUUCAGCCCAUGGACCAAACCCAGGAACGUGUUUCCACCUGAACUAAUGUGGAUGGCAGAAGACCUCAAGAAGAAAUUUCUGACUGUCCAUGGGGAGAAGACUGCCCGGAUCACUGUAGAAACCCUAAAUGACCUUCCAAGGAGGAAGUACCCCAAAGCUCCUCGUGUGAU